AAAAUUUGUAUGUUUUAAGAUAGCCUCCUUAGUACUGUGCAUAAUCAUUUACUGGGUCUUUAAUUCUUUUAAAAAAUUCGAAUAGUCGUGCAACGUUUCGACAUGCUCCGAAAAGAACCAAUGAAUAAUCUCAACAACUAUAGAUCCCGACAUUAUCAAAAACAUAACUCCAAUGCUUAUCCCGAGACUGAUAAUUACAACGUAACGUGGCUGUCCUAUAUGAUCGUACUUGGUAGUUACAGGAAUCAUCUUAGAGGCCGAACUAGAAAAUGAUUUCUGCUGGACAACUUUGCGAACUAUUCCUGCUUCUCCGUUGUCCUUAAAAGCUGUCAAUAAGGGUAGGCAAGACUUAUUGACACAAUAGACAGCUGAUGCUUUGCUCGAAUCAUCCAAAACAAUUAAGCCAGAAAGGACGAUUAUCGAAUCGUUGAUUGGGAUUUGAGAAAUUUGGUUAGAUUCAAAAAAAUCAAUACUGUUUAUCGUCGAUUGAUUUAAAUGAAUAUCAAGAGAAUAUGAAUUUAUAGCCCCUUCAGAGUUCAACACGUUCAAGUAAGUAUCACUGCUACUUACUUCAGUUCCAUACAACAAAACUGAGUAUUCAUCCUUUGAUUGUGAUUUUAAAGAUGCAAGCAAGACCGGACCGGGUAUGCUAGAAGAACCUUUGCAACUCAUGAUAGUAUUGUUAUCGAAAUUAUACAUCAAUAGAUAGUCUACGUCAGACGUAUCCCAAACAAAUUUGCCAGCUAAAUACAUACUUGAAUAUGUUUCGUUUACCCACAAAAUGGACUGCACUUCAGCAGAUAUCAGGUUGUGACUGAUGUUGCGCCAGCUCGACGAAUUGUAUUCGAAUAUGCAAAAUCCUACACAUCCCGAAGAUUGUUCAGACAAGUUUCCACCAAAGAAGAUAUUGUUGUAAGAAUCAUCCACUAUAACACUAUUUAUGUGCCCUUUCAGUUGUGAAAGUGCUGUAGUGUUUCCUAAGGAAUUUGAUGUUGUGUUGAAAGAAACAAACGUAUUCUUGACAAUGUCUGACUCAUCCGUAUCAUUACUAUAAAUAAUUAAACAGUCCUCAAGUACAAUGAACUUAGAACUGCAAUUAGCGGACAAAAUACGUUUAGGAUAUAUUGGCUCAGUUGAGUUAGCGAAAUAAACGGCAGCAGUACAUUUAUCCUCCAUUUCUUCACUUCCUAGAAUAGCAAUCAUGGAAUUAUUUGCAAACGGAUAGGCUAUAUCUUCUAACCGUAUGUACGAGGGAAAUGCGUUUACGUAACACGGAAUAAACGUGUCAUUAAGACUAUCGCUGGAAAAAUGGGCGAUGUUUCUAGUACUGUAACUCGCAAUUGCACUUAGAUUACCAGAAUAUAUCCUUUGCGUGCUAUUAAAACCAGGUAUAUCGAAAAGAUACCCGGACAUGUAAAAUCCAAGUUUCUCCAUGCUGACCCAUGAUUUGGAAGAAGGAUUCCAUAAACUGAAUCCACUCGUUGAUAUGGCGUAUCCCUCUGAAGUAUAAACUUCAUUGAAAUCUCCUUGAAAAGAUAUAAAGGAUUCAAUUUUGCCGUCAAUAAAGAGAGAAGUGGAGCCUAUAUGAGUUACCGGACCAUUGGUACCAAGACCAAGAGAACUCCAAUUGCGAGAUGUCUCGGAGUACAUCGCAAUAUAAUUAAGCUUUAUUGAGCCAUCACCUGUAUGGGUAAAAUUACCACCAAAAUAAGAAGAAUCUCCAGAUACAUAAAUAUACGAAACCCAUCCGUUCAAUCCGUUAUUAGGAAAUGAAUGUAGGUGAUUUAAGGAAUCCAUGUACACCACAUUAUUGCCAUAGUUAUCAGAAAAAUUCCCUGUCAUGUAUAGAGAAAAAUUUCCAUUAGAUAGACUCUUAAUUUGUGAUAUAGCGGUACCUCGUAGCUUACUAGCAGCUGGAAACUCAAUAAUUGAGGGAAGUUUGUUAACAUCGGUAGUGGUAUUAACAAAAACAAGUCCAUUGGAAACAUUUGUAUAUGAUUGUUCUAAAAAGCGAAUAGAAUGUGUAACCAUACGACUGUUCUUAUAUGGCAGCAACUCAACAUAGGGCCGAAAAUUAUCUGAAAAUCCUUGCAAAUAACCAGAAUAAAGAGACACAUAUUGGUCAAAAUCUGAUGCCUGCUGAACAAGUUUGGUAGCAGGCUGUUUAUUUUUAGCAAAGUAAACAUUUGCUAUAACAGAACCCCUCUGAGAACAUGUAUUAUCGUAUGUGCAACCAGGAAUUAA
This 2244-nucleotide long non-coding RNA is filed under the name Schizosaccharomyces pombe (fission yeast). Lineage: Eukaryota; Fungi; Ascomycota; Schizosaccharomycetes; Schizosaccharomycetales; Schizosaccharomycetaceae. The record is from RNAcentral.